UACGUAGGGUGCAAUCGUUGUCCGGAUUUACUGGGUUUAAAGGGUGCGCAGGCGGCCGAUUAAGUCAGUGGUGAAAUCCCGCCGCCCAACGGCGGAUGUGCCAUUGAUACUGGUCGGCUUGAGUGCGCCAGAGGCAAGCGGAAUUCGUGGUGUAGCGGUGAAAUGCAUAGAUACCACGAGGAACACCGAUAGUGAAGACAGCUUGCCGGGGCGCAACUGACGCUCAUGCACGAAAGCGCGGGUAUCAAACAGG
RNAcentral lists this ribosomal RNA (253 nucleotides) under uncultured bacterium. Its description in RNAcentral is "partial 16S ribosomal RNA". It matches the Rfam family "Bacterial small subunit ribosomal RNA", at positions 524 to 776 of the family's 1533-position model. The record is from RNAcentral.